Molecule: long non-coding RNA, 367 nt
Filed under: Macaca mulatta (Rhesus monkey)
Lineage: Eukaryota; Metazoa; Chordata; Mammalia; Primates; Cercopithecidae
Description: lncRNA (ENSMMUG00000062160.1)
Source: RNAcentral
UUAGAGAAGAUAGGUUGAAGAAAGAAGAGGUGUGCUGGAGACCAAUUAAAUCAGGUUAGAACUCUCAAAUUCAUUUGCUGGUUCACUCUGCCCGUGUUCUACAAAAGCCCUAGUUUCAGUUUGUGCCGUGGCUCAGCUUCCUCUCCUCAUCAUAGAAUGUUGGCUUCAUAUAAUCGUCCCCUAAUCUGCCCAGCCUCAGAAUUAAGGUAAAGAGCAUAAAUAGUGCUCUGGCUGUGGAAAACACCUCAAAAUUGUCAGACCUCUGAGCCCAAGCCAAGCCAUUGCAUUCCCUGUGACUUGCACGCAUUCGCCAAGAUGCAAGAUGGCCUGAAGUAACUGAAGAAUAACAAAAGAAGUGAAAAUGCCC